CCUACGGGUGGCAGCAGUGAGGAAUAUUGGUCAAUGGCCGGAAGGCUGAACCAGCCAAGCCGCGUGAAGGACGAAGGUGUCAAGCAUUGUAAACUUCUUUUGUCAAGGGACAAAAUCAGGCUCGAGAGCCUGACCGAGGGUACUUGAAGAAAAAGCAUCGGCUAACACCGUGCCAGCAGCCGCGGUAAUACGGGGGAGGGGAGCGUUACCGGGUUUUAUGGGGUUUAAGGGGGGGGAAGGCGGACUGUUAGGUCAGCGGUAAAGGCCCGGGGCUCAACCCCGGCGAGCCGUUGAAAUGGGCUGUCUUGAGAUGUCGAGAGGUAUGCGGAAUGCGCAGUGUAGCGGUGAAAUGCUUAGAUAUUGCGCAGAACUCCGAUUGCGAAGGCAGCAUACCGGCGGCGAUCUGACGCUGAGGCACGAAAGCGUGGGUAUCGAACAGGAUUAGAUACCCUAGUAGUC
RNAcentral lists this ribosomal RNA (459 nucleotides) under uncultured bacterium. RNAcentral describes it as "partial 16S ribosomal RNA". It matches the Rfam family "Bacterial small subunit ribosomal RNA", at positions 338 to 795 of the family's 1533-position model. The record is from RNAcentral.